GUUUUUUGGUUUUUUUUAAAAAAAAGUAUUUAAUUCUUUGAAAAAACACAGAUAAAAAUUUUAAAAAACCGG
This 72-nucleotide transfer RNA is filed under the name Argopecten purpuratus. RNAcentral describes it as "tRNA-Lys". Lineage: Eukaryota; Metazoa; Mollusca; Bivalvia; Pectinida; Pectinidae. The record is from RNAcentral.